Molecule: ribosomal RNA, 324 nt
Filed under: uncultured eukaryote
Lineage: Eukaryota
Description: partial 18S ribosomal RNA
Rfam family: Eukaryotic small subunit ribosomal RNA
Source: RNAcentral
CCCUUAGAUGUUCUGGGCCGCACGCGCGCUACACUGAUGCAUUCAACGAGUUUCUUCCUGGUCCGAGAGGAAUGGGUAACCUUUUGAAAGUGCAUCGUGAUAGGGAUGGACUAUUGCAAUUAUUGGUCUUCAACGAGGAAUUCCUAGUAGACGUAGCUCAUCAGACUGCAUCGAUUACGUCCCUGCCCUUUGUACACACCGCCCGUCGCUCCUACCGAUUGAAUGCUAAGGUGAGCCAUUCGGACUUUCAUCAUGCUGGUUUCCAGUUUUGAUGAAGGAAAGUCUCGCAAACCUUAUCAUCUAGAGGAAGGAGAAGUCGUAACA